UAACACGUGGGCAACCUACCUUACAGAUGGGGAUAACUCCGGGAAACCGGGGCUAAUACCGAAUAAUCCAUUUCUUCGCAUGAAGAGAUGUUGAAAGACGGUUUCAGCUGUCACUGUGAGAUGGGCCCGCGGCGCAUUAGUUAGUUGGUGGGGUAACGGCCUACCAAGACCACGAUGCGUAGCCGACCUGAGAGGGUGAUCGGCCACACUGGGACUGAGACACGGCCCAGACUCCUACGGGAGGCAGCAGUAGGGAAUCUUCCACAAUGGACGAAAGUCUGAUGGAGCAACGCCGCGUGAGUGAAGAAGGUUUUCGGAUCGUAAAGCUCUGUUGUAAGGGAAGAACACGUACAGGAGUAACUGCCUGUACCUUGACGGUACCUUACCAGAAAGCCACGGCUAACUACGUGCCAGCAGCCGCGGUAAUACGUAGGUGGCAAGCGUUGUCCGGAAUUAUUGGGCGUAAAGCGCGCGCAGGCGGUCCUUUAAGUCUGAUGUGAAAGCCCACGGCUCAACCGUGGAGGGUCAUUGGAAACUGGAGGACUUGAGUACAGAAGAGGAAAGCGGAAUUCCACGUGUAGCGGUGAAAUGCGUAGAGAUGUGGAGGAACACCAGUGGCGAAGGCGGCUUUCUGGUCUGUAACUGACGCUGAGGCGCGAAAGCGUGGGGAG
This 671-nucleotide ribosomal RNA is filed under the name Sporosarcina newyorkensis. RNAcentral describes it as "bacterial SSU rRNA". It matches the Rfam family "Bacterial small subunit ribosomal RNA", at positions 111 to 768 of the family's 1533-position model. The record is from RNAcentral. Lineage: Bacteria; Bacillati; Bacillota; Bacilli; Caryophanales; Caryophanaceae.